UCAGGCCUAACACAUGCAAGUCGAACGGCAGCACGGACUUCGGUCUGGUGGCGAGUGGCGAACGGGUGAGUAAUAUAUCGGAACGUGCCCAGUCGUGGGGGAUAACGUAGUGAAAAUUACGCUAAUACCGCAUACGAUCUAUGGAUGAAAGCGGGGGAUCGCAAGACCUCGCGCGAUUGGAGCGGCCGAUAUCAGAUUAGGUAGUUGGUGAGGUAAAGGCUCACCAAGCCAACGAUCUGUAGCUGGUCUGAGAGGACGACCAGCCACACUGGAACUGAGACACGGUCCAGACUCCUACGGGAGGCAGCAGUGGGGAAUUUUGGACAAUGGACGCAAGUCUGAUCCAAACAGAGCCGCGUGCAGGACGAAGGCCUUCGGGUU
This 381-nucleotide ribosomal RNA is filed under the name uncultured bacterium. Its description in RNAcentral is "bacterial SSU rRNA". It matches the Rfam family "Bacterial small subunit ribosomal RNA", at positions 42 to 424 of the family's 1533-position model. The record is from RNAcentral.